RNAcentral lists this transfer RNA (71 nucleotides) under Heterocephalus glaber (naked mole-rat). It matches the Rfam family "tRNA". From Rfam's summary of the family: Transfer RNA (tRNA) molecules are approximately 80 nucleotides in length. Their secondary structure includes four short double-helical elements and three loops (D, anti-codon, and T loops). The record is from Rfam by way of RNAcentral. Lineage: Eukaryota; Metazoa; Chordata; Mammalia; Rodentia; Bathyergidae.
UUCGAUGUAGCUCAGUGGUAGAGCACUUGCCUAGCAUGUGCAAGACCCUGGAUUCAAUCUCAGUACCGAAA